GGUAGCGUGGCUGAGUGGUCUAUGGUGCUGGAUUAAGGCUCCAGUUUCUUCAAAGGCGUGGGUUUGAAUCCUACCCCUGUCA
This 82-nucleotide transfer RNA is filed under the name Lepisosteus oculatus (spotted gar). It matches the Rfam family "tRNA". From Rfam's summary of the family: Transfer RNA (tRNA) molecules are approximately 80 nucleotides in length. Their secondary structure includes four short double-helical elements and three loops (D, anti-codon, and T loops). Lineage: Eukaryota; Metazoa; Chordata; Actinopteri; Semionotiformes; Lepisosteidae. The record is from Rfam by way of RNAcentral.